GAUGAACGCUAGCGGCAGGCUUAAUACAUGCAAGUCGUGGGGCAGCAGGGGUAGCAAUACUUGCUGGCGACCGGCAAACGGGUGCGUAACACGUACGCAACUUUCCUUCAAGCGGGGAAUAGCCCAGAGAAAUUUGGAUUAAUACCCCAUAAAAUUUUGAGAUGGCAUCAUCUUAUUAUUAAAGCUCCGGCACUUGAAGAUGGGCGUGCGGCUGAUUAGGUAGUUGGCGGGGAACGGCCACCAAGCCUACGAUCAGUAGCUGAUGUGAGAGCAUGAUCAGCCACACGGGCACUGAGACACGGGCCCGACUCCUACGGGAGGCAGCAGUAAGGAAUAUUGGUCAAUGGACGCAAGUCUGAACCAGCCAUGCCGCGUGAAGGAUGAAGGUCCUCUGGAUUGUAAACUUCUUUUAUUUGGGAACGAAAAAGGAAUUUCUUUCUCACUUGACGGUACCAGAUGAAUAAGCACCGGCUAACUCCGUGCCAGCAGCCGCC
This 494-nucleotide ribosomal RNA is filed under the name uncultured bacterium. RNAcentral's name for it is "bacterial SSU rRNA". It matches the Rfam family "Bacterial small subunit ribosomal RNA", at positions 28 to 519 of the family's 1533-position model. The record is from RNAcentral.